AUACGGAGGAUGCAAGCGUUAUCCGGACUUAUUGGGUUUAAAGGGUGCGUAGGCGGGACUGUAAGUCAGGGGUGAAAUACUGCAGCUUAACUGUAGCACUGCCUUUGAAACUGCCGUUCUUGAGUACAGUUGAGGUAGGCGGAAUGGGGUGUGUAGCGGUGAAAUGCAUAUAUAAACCGCAGAACGCCGAUUGCGAAGGCAGCUUACUCAGCUUGUACUGUCGCUGAGGCACGAAAGCUUGAGGAUCAUACAGUAUUAGAUGCCCUGGUAGUCCACACUGUAAACGAUGAAUACGGGAUGUUAGCGAUAGAUAGCUAGUCACUGAGCGAAAGCAUUAAGUAAUCCACCUGGGGAGUACGGCGGCAACGAUGAAACUCAAAGGAAUUGACGGGG
RNAcentral lists this ribosomal RNA (393 nucleotides) under uncultured bacterium. RNAcentral describes it as "partial 16S ribosomal RNA". It matches the Rfam family "Bacterial small subunit ribosomal RNA", at positions 523 to 918 of the family's 1533-position model. The record is from RNAcentral.